Molecule: ribosomal RNA, 472 nt
Filed under: uncultured Glomus
Lineage: Eukaryota; Fungi; Glomeromycota; Glomeromycetes; Glomerales; Glomeraceae
Description: SSU rRNA
Rfam family: Eukaryotic small subunit ribosomal RNA
Source: RNAcentral
AGCAGCCGCGGUAAUUCCAGCUCCAAUAGCGUAUAUUAAAGUUGUUGCAGUUAAAAAGCUCGUAGUUGAAUUUCGGGAUCAAUUAAUUGGUCGUGCCUCUGGUACGUACUGAUUUUAUUGGUUUCUCCCUUCUGACGAACCAUGAUGUCAUUAAUUUGGUGUCGUGGAGAAUCAGGACUGUUACUUUGAAAAAUUAGAGUGUUUAAAGCAAGCUAACGCUUGAAUACAUUAGCAUGGAAUAAUGAAAUAGGACGUUUGAUCCUAUUUUGUUGGUUUCUAGGAUCGACGUAAUGAUUAAUAGGGAUAGUUGGGGGCAUUAGUAUUCAAUUGUCAGAGGUGAAAUUCUUGGAUUUAUUGAAGACUAACUACUGCGGAAGCAUUUGCCAAGGAUGUUUUCAUUAAUCAAGAACGAAAGUUAGGGGAUCGAAGACGAUCAGAUACCGUCGUAGUCUUAACCAUAAACUAUAGCCGA